GCAAUGGUGAUUCAGGGGUAGAAUUCUCACCUUCUAUUUUUGUUUUGUUUUGUUUAUGCAAGAGACCCAGGUUUGAUUCCUGGCCAAUGCA
Molecule: transfer RNA, 91 nt
Filed under: Loxodonta africana (African savanna elephant)
Lineage: Eukaryota; Metazoa; Chordata; Mammalia; Proboscidea; Elephantidae
Rfam family: tRNA
About the family: Transfer RNA (tRNA) molecules are approximately 80 nucleotides in length. Their secondary structure includes four short double-helical elements and three loops (D, anti-codon, and T loops).
Source: Rfam by way of RNAcentral